This 482-nucleotide ribosomal RNA is filed under the name uncultured bacterium. Its description in RNAcentral is "partial 16S ribosomal RNA". It matches the Rfam family "Bacterial small subunit ribosomal RNA", at positions 30 to 507 of the family's 1533-position model. The record is from RNAcentral.
AUUGAACGCUGGCGGCAUGCCUUACACAUGCAAGUCGAACGGUAACGGGCCUUCGGGUGCCGACGAGUGGCGCACGGGUGAGUAAUACAUCGGAACGUGCCCGAUCGUGGGGGAUAACGAGGCGAAAGCUUUGCUAAUACCGCAUACGAUCUACGGAUGAAAGCAGGGGACCGCAAGGCCUUGCGCGGACGGAGCGGCCGAUGGCAGAUUAGGUAGUUGGUGGGAUAAAAGCUUACCAAGCCGACGAUCUGUAGCUGGUCUGAGAGGAUGAUCAGUCACACUGGGACUGAGACACGGCCCAGACUCCUACGGGAGGCAGCAGUGGGGAAUUUUGGACAAUGGGCGCAAGCCUGAUCCAGCCAUGCCGCGUGCAGGAUGAAGGCCUUCGGGUUGUAAACUGCUUUUGUACGGAACGAAAAGCCUUCUUUUAAUACAGGAGGGUCAUGACGGUACCGUAAGAAUAAGCACCGGCUAACUACGUG